RNAcentral lists this ribosomal RNA (569 nucleotides) under Wickerhamiella pararugosa. Its description in RNAcentral is "eukaryotic LSU rRNA". It matches the Rfam family "Eukaryotic large subunit ribosomal RNA", at positions 65 to 664 of the family's 3401-position model. Lineage: Eukaryota; Fungi; Ascomycota; Dipodascomycetes; Dipodascales; Trichomonascaceae. The record is from RNAcentral.
CCAACAGGGAUUCCCUUAGUAACGGCGAGUGAACCGGGAAAAGCUCAAAUUUGAAAUCUGCCAACAGGCCGAGUUGUAAUUUGUAGAUGGCUACACUGCAUAAUAGUAGAUGCUCAAGUUCUUUGGAAAAAGACAUCAUGGAGGGUGACAAUCCCGUGAGGCAUGUUACUAGGAGCAUAUAGUGGGCUUUCUAAGAGUCGAGUUGUUUGGGAAUGCAGCUCAAAGUGCGUGGUGAAUACCAUGUAAAGCUAAAUAUGGACGAGAGACCGAUAGCGAACAAGUACUGUGAAGGAAAGAUGAAAAGCACUCCGAAAGGAGAGUGAAAUAGUACGUGAAAUUGUUAAAGUGGAAGGGCUUGAGAUCAGAAUUGGUAGUUUGGGUUCCACGUCCUCUUGGGGGCGUGUACUCCCUUUCCACCGGGCCAGCGGGAGUUUCGUCUCUUGGGUAAAAGCAGUGGAAUGUAGCAGCUUGUCUGUAUUAUAGCCUCUGUUCAUACAAGACGUCGAGACUUGAUUUGUUGGCGUAAUGAUCUCUAGCCACCCGUCUUGAAACACGGACCUCCUGUGUGA